RNAcentral lists this unclassified non-coding RNA (2850 nucleotides) under Hevea brasiliensis (rubber tree). Lineage: Eukaryota; Viridiplantae; Streptophyta; Magnoliopsida; Malpighiales; Euphorbiaceae. The record is from RNAcentral.
GUGAAAAAACAAACGAAGGAAUUUCAUGCAUGAAGAUAAUGGACGAUAAUUAAAACGUGAUUUUACAUAAAGAAAGCAUCUUGUUUCUUCAUCCCUAGCCCUAGGAAUCCUAUAUAUCAGAAUCUAAAAACUAAUUAAACAACAUUUUAAAAGGAAAAAAAAAAAAAAGAUCAAAACAACCUCUAAAUCUAAUGACAUGAAUAUUCACCGAGUUUUCCACUAUCUAGUAUUAGAAUUUAUAAUUCUUGGAUUUUGAAAAUGAUCCGACUAUCGACAGAUUCAAGAAGGCCAAUGUCAUCUAUUGAUUGAUCCUCUGCACUAUCAUCGUCAAUGCAGAUAUUCAAAUCCAGUGAGACACAAGGGCUUGUCUCCUCCAUGAUGGCGCUGCUUUGACCUUUUUCUUCCUCUUGGGAAUUAUCUGUUUUUCGCUUGAUAGGAGGAGAGCAGGCUCUUGAUCUUAAGCUAAAGCUUUCACAGCUCAAAAUGAUAAUGGCAUCACUAAGACUAACUUCUUCACCAACGGAAUUGGUUAUUCUUCCUCUUUCAAUUGCUCUUUUGAACCCCAUUUGCGAGCAAUAAUCUGCCUGCUCAACAUCUUCAACUAAGAAAACCCGAUGUGGGUUGCUUGACAAAGCCUCAGCAAAUCUUUCGAUAUAGCUGCAACUUUCAUCUCUUGAUCUCUUGUUUCGAAAGUCUUCGGUUGAGUCUGCUCCUGUGGAUGAAAAGCUGCUUAAAGCAAUGGAAAUGAAGUUGUUCUGCAAGCCAAAAACAAGCCUAGCCAAUUCUUUGGCUAUUUUCUCUUUAGCUUCCAUAUCGACUCCUUGAAAGAAUAACCAAGUUUCUUCUUUGGCCUCACAGUUUCUCACCUUCCCUUUUCUUCUUACCAUGCCUGACCUGCAUUGCAAGAUCGUGGUCGCGAUUUGUGGGAUUAUAUCUUUCUGCCAUGGUACCUUUUUCUCCAAUGCAUCGCAUAAGGUUUUCAAGUUCUCAGCAUUCACCUCCUUGAACAUGUGAAGAUACUCCAUCUCCAUUACAUCACUGGAAGAAGUGGAGUUAGGAGUAGAACUUGGAUACGAUGAAAAGGGAGGUUUAGGAUGAUCUCUAUGCUCUGGAAUGUACAUUCUCAACCUGGGUUCAAUGGUACUGCUACUCUUGUUGACCAUUUCUGAACCAACCCAGAAAUGGUAGUCCCUCCAUGAUUGCUUGGGUUCAACCAUUGGCCAGUCAUGAUGGUUUCGGUGGAAAUUAGGGUAUCGCUGGUCAUAUGAGAAACCAGAAGUGGAAGAAGAAGGUGACACAGAAGAAAAUAUAAUGGUUUUCCCAGAAGAAAGAGGUUGGUUGUGGAUUGAACUGCAAAUUGAGUUCCACUUUUUCCAAAUAUCUUUGAUUGAGACAGAAUCCUGACCGUCAGUAUUGUUAAGUCUCUUGGUCUCAUUCUUGUAUUGUUGAAGCCAUGCAGGAAGGCUAGAAGUUGGGGACUCACUGUUACAAGUGCUAGUCUGUAAGCUUUGAGCCUCGGUCUCAAACUUGGCUGUACAAUCAGCACAGCAAGUGAGUUGCUUCUCUUCAUCAUCACCUUCAAGUAUAAUCAAGCAGCUAGAUCCAUUUUGAUCUGCUUUGUUGCUGGUGGACUGACUUUCUACAUCACUGUCGGUGAUGAGACUUAAGCGUAAGCUGCCUGCAGGAAUUGUAAGGGGAUGGAGACUCCAAAUAGUCUCAAGUGAUGGAUGGCCUGAUUUGCACUUCAUGUAUGUUUGGAAAGUGGCAAUCCCCAUAAGCCAAAAUUUCCCACUAUUUUCUUCAAUUCCACAAGCUAAUUUCCCAAGCUCCAUGAUCAUGUGCUCCAUUGGGCACAAGUGGCUACUCCUCCCUUGUUCACUGCAUGAGCUACUGGUCCUAUACUCACUAAUCCACUUCAGAUCUCCUAAAUUCAAAACAAUUCCUUUGCUUAUGUAGCUUCUCACCAGGCCCUUAAGAUCUUCUAGCUUCUGUUCUACGUCUAACCUGGAAAGAUCAGCUAAUAAAGAUAUUGGAAAUGGUAAAAACUUAACUUCCCUCAAAGCCUCAGGAACAUCUCCUUUAAUAACCUUCUCCAUCACUCCUUUAACCACAGCCUCUAUGCUACCAAGACACUCUCCUACAAUCACAAAACUUCUCUUUCUUUUGUUCAUUAAAUUCUCUAUAACACUCAUCACGUCCUCAUUCCUAAUUGGAUCUAAAGAUGUUAUUGGUUUGCUUUCUUUUGCUCCUACUUGACUCAGGGGAGGAGAAUGGGAAAGGGCAAGAACGUUGCUUUCCUUGGACUUGCUACUUACAGAAGGAGCACUUUGAGAACAAAUUUCUAAAGAAACAGCUUGCUCAACAUUGCUUUUCACUUGGGUACUAGAGAAACCAGCUUCUCUCAUGACUCUACUAACACUGGGAUCAUCUAAAAUGGAAAUUAUGAGCUGCUCUAACUCUAUUUUCACAGCUAAGAGAGGUUGCUGCUGGUUUUCAAUAGAGCCACGCCGUUGGUGAGCCUGAGCUCGCUUAAAGGCCGCAACCAAGGCAUUGGAGAUUGAGGGGUACUGUUGGGGGUGAGUACCUAACAUGGGGCUUGACGUGGAAGCAGGAAGACGGUUAAGGGCUACGUUGAAGCAAAGCUCCAGGGCUUUGCACUGGAGUGGGUGAGAGUGGGAUUGAAGACAAGCUGUUCUCAGUAGGCCACUAGAGGCAGAAAGCAUGGUGUUGGCUACGUGGAGAGGGGUCACUUGGGCAUGCCCUCGCCGUCUAGCCAGAGUCACCGCUUGUUUUACGACGGUUGCCGCCUCCGGAGUUAGAGUUUGCUGCACCGUGCAACCUCCUGCUCUC